RNAcentral lists this ribosomal RNA (119 nucleotides) under Pteropus alecto (black flying fox). The record is from RNAcentral. Lineage: Eukaryota; Metazoa; Chordata; Mammalia; Chiroptera; Pteropodidae.
GUCUAUGGCCAUGCUACCCUGAACAAGCCCGAUCCCGUCUGAUCUUGGAAGCUAAGGAGGGUCGGGCCUGGUUAGUACUUGGAUGGGAGACCACCUAGGAAGACCAGGUGCUGUAGGCA